RNAcentral lists this ribosomal RNA (425 nucleotides) under uncultured bacterium. RNAcentral's name for it is "partial 16S ribosomal RNA". It matches the Rfam family "Bacterial small subunit ribosomal RNA", at positions 354 to 796 of the family's 1533-position model. The record is from RNAcentral.
GUGGGGAAUAUUGGACAAUGGGCGCAAGCCUGAUCCAGCCAUGCCGCGUGAGUGAUGAAGGCCUUAGGGUUGUAAAGCUCUUUUGUCCGGGAAGAUAAUGACUGUACCGGAAGAAUAAGCCCCGGCUAACUUCGUGCCAGCAGCCGCGGUAAUACGAAGGGGGCUAGCGUUGUUCGGAAUCACUGGGCGUAAAGCGCACGUAGGCGGACCAUUAAGUCAGGGGUGAAAGCCUGGAGCUCAACUCCAGAACUGCCUUUGAUACUGAUGGUCUCGAGUAUGGAAGAGGUGGGUGGAACUGCGAGUGUAGAGGUGAAAUUCGUAGAUAUUCGCAAGAACACCGGUGGCGAAGGCGGCCAACUGGGCCAUUACUGACGCUGAGGUGCGAAAGCGUGGGGAGCAAACAGGAUUAGAAACCCUAGUAGUCC